This 259-nucleotide ribosomal RNA is filed under the name Vreelandella titanicae. Its description in RNAcentral is "Halomonas titanicae partial 16S ribosomal RNA". It matches the Rfam family "Bacterial small subunit ribosomal RNA", at positions 60 to 320 of the family's 1533-position model. The record is from RNAcentral. Lineage: Bacteria; Pseudomonadati; Pseudomonadota; Gammaproteobacteria; Oceanospirillales; Halomonadaceae.
GCAGUCGAGCGGUAACAGGGGUAGCUUGCUACCCGCUGACGAGCGGCGGACGGGUGAGUAAUGCAUAGGAAUCUGCCCGAUAGUGGGGGAUAACCUGGGGAAACCCAGGCUAAUACCGCAUACGUCCUACGGGAGAAAGGGGGCUUCGGCUCCCGCUAUUGGAUGAGCCUAUGUCGGAAUAGCUAGUUGGUAAGGUAAUGGCUUACCAAGGCAACGAUCCGUAGCUGGUCUGAGAGGAUGAUCAGCCACAUCGGGGACU